RNAcentral lists this transfer RNA (89 nucleotides) under Acidithiobacillus ferrooxidans ATCC 23270. RNAcentral's name for it is "tRNA-Leu". It matches the Rfam family "tRNA". Rfam says of the family: Transfer RNA (tRNA) molecules are approximately 80 nucleotides in length. Their secondary structure includes four short double-helical elements and three loops (D, anti-codon, and T loops). The record is from RNAcentral. Lineage: Bacteria; Pseudomonadati; Pseudomonadota; Acidithiobacillia; Acidithiobacillales; Acidithiobacillaceae.
UGCCGGGAUGGCGGAACUGGUAGACGCGCCGGACUCAAAAUCCGGUGGUGGUGACAUCGUGUCGGUUCGAGUCCGACUCUCGGUACCAU